RNAcentral lists this ribosomal RNA (309 nucleotides) under uncultured bacterium. RNAcentral describes it as "bacterial SSU rRNA". It matches the Rfam family "Bacterial small subunit ribosomal RNA", at positions 504 to 811 of the family's 1533-position model. The record is from RNAcentral.
CGUGCCAGCAGCCGCGGUAAUACGUAGGGUGCAAGCGUUGUCCGGAAUUACUGGGCGUAAAGAGCUCGUAGGUGGUUUGUCGCGUCGUCUGUGAAAUCCCGGGGCUUAACUUCGGGCGUGCAGGCGAUACGGGCAUAACUUGAGUGCUGUAGGGGAGACUGGAAUUCCUGGUGUAGCGGUGAAAUGCGCAGAUAUCAGGAGGAACACCGAUGGCGAAGGCAGGUCUCUGGGCAGUUACUGACGCUGAGGAGCGAAAGCAUGGGUAGCGAACAGGAUUAGAUACCCUGGUAGUCCACGCCGUAAACGAUG